AAUUUUGGACAAUGGGGGAAACCCUGAUCCAGCCAUCCCGCGUGUAUGAUGAAGGACUUCGGGUUGUAAAGUACUUUUGGCAGAGAAGAAAAGGCAUCCCCUAAUACGGGAUGCUGCUGACGGUAUCUGCAGAAUAAGCACCGGCUACCUACGUGCCAGCAGCCGCGGUAAUACGUAGGGUGCAAGAGUUAAUCGGAAUUACUGGGCGUAAAGAGUGUGUAGAGGGUGCGGAAAAAAAAAGGUGAAAUCCCAGGGCUCAACAUUGGAACUGCAGUUUUAAAUGCCGCGAUAGAGAAUGUCAGAGGGGGGUAGAAUUCCACGUGUAGCAGUGGAAUACGUAGAUAUGUGGAGGAAUACCGAUGGCGAAGGCAGAGCCCUGGGAUAAAACUGACGCUCAGACACGAAAGCGUGGGGAGCAAAAAGG
This 424-nucleotide ribosomal RNA is filed under the name uncultured bacterium. Its description in RNAcentral is "partial 16S ribosomal RNA". It matches the Rfam family "Bacterial small subunit ribosomal RNA", at positions 360 to 776 of the family's 1533-position model. The record is from RNAcentral.